Molecule: ribosomal RNA, 1395 nt
Filed under: Triticum aestivum (bread wheat)
Lineage: Eukaryota; Viridiplantae; Streptophyta; Magnoliopsida; Poales; Poaceae
Description: partial small subunit ribosomal RNA
Source: RNAcentral
AUGGAUUCCAUCUUAGCUAACGGAACCUGGGAGAUCACUGACCGUCCUUAUGGGUGCAAGCCUGUAGGAUGUAAGUGGGUGUUCAAGAAGAAGCUUAGACCUGAUGGUACGAUUGAAAAGUACAAGGCACGGCUUGUGGCUAAGGGUUAUACCCAGAAAGAAGGUGAAGACUUCUUUGAUACUUACUCACCCGUGGCUAGACUGACCACAAUUCAGGUGCUACUAUCACUGGCUGCCUCACAUGGUCUUCUCGUUCAUCAAAUGGACGUUAAGACGACUUUCCUCAAUGGAGAGUUGAAGGAGGAAAUUUACAUGGAUCAGCCAGAUGGUUUUAUAGUACCUGGUCAGGAAGGAAAGGUGUGCAAGUUAUUAAAGUCUUUAUAUGGCCUUAAACAAGCUCCUAAGGAGUGGCAUGAGAAGUUCGAAAGAACAUUAACUACUGUCAGCUUUGUAGUAAACGAUGGUCACAAGUGUGUGUACUAUCGCCAUGGUGGGGGCGAAGGAGUUAUUCUUAGUCUGUAUGUCGAUGACAUAUUGAUCUUUGGAACCAAACUUGAUUUAAUCAAGGAGGUUAAGGAUUUCUUAUCUCGCUGUUUUGAGAUGAAGGAUCUAGGAGUAGCUGAUGUUAUCUUAAACAUAAAGCUGUUGAGAGAUGAGAAUGGUGGGAUCACACUGCUUCAGUCUCACUAUGUGGAAAAGGUCUUGAGUCGUUUUGGGUAUAGCGACUGUACGCCUUCUCCAACUCCAUAUGAUGCUACGAGUGCCACGAGGCCUGACAUCUCAUUUGCUGUGAGUAAGCUGAGUCGGUUUGUGUCAAAACCAGGAGAUGAUCAUUGGCAUGCUCUUGAGAGAGUUAUGCGCUAUUUGAAAGGCACCGCGAGCUAUGGGAUUCACUACACCGGGUAUCCAAGGGUACUGGAGGGUUAUAGUGACUCAAACUGGAUAUCUGAUGCUGAUGAGAUUAAGGCCACAAGUGGUUAUGUUUUUACACUUGGUGGUGGCGCUGUUUCUUGGAAGUCUUGCAAGCAGACCAUGUUAACGAGGUCAACUAUGGAAGCAGAACUCAUAGCAUUAGACACUGCCACUGUUGAAGCAGAGUGGCUUCGUGAGCUCUUGAUGGACUUACCUAUGGUUGAAAAACCAAUACCCCCUAUCCUGAUGAAUUGUGAUAAUCAAACUGUGAUCGUCAAGAUAAACAGUUCUAAGGACAAUAUGAAGUCCUCAAGGCAUGUGAAGAGGAGACUAAAAUCUGUCAGAAAAUUGAGGAACUCCGGAGUUAUUACGUUGGAUUAUAUCCAAACAUCGAAAAAUUUGGCAGAUCCCUUCACAAAGGGUCUAUCACGUAAUGUGAUAGAUAAUGCAUCGAUGGAGAUGGUUCUGAGAGCCACAGCAUGA